UUGAACACAAUCCUCGUAUGCUCUGAAAAAUCCAUCUUGUAUCACAACAAAAUCUUUCAAUCUCAGUUUUGAAGCAAAAGCUGUCUCAGAUGAACCAAUAAAGACAUCUCUACAACCUCUUCUCCUCCUCCCCUAUCUCUCUCUCUCAGGCCGUUGUUCUCGAGAAGCAAAUUGGCAGAAAUGAUCUUUAUACUUCAAGACACUCCACACCCACAAAAAUAUAGCAGUAGACUUUUUUUUUAUUAUUAUUUCUUAGAUUCC
This 261-nucleotide unclassified non-coding RNA is filed under the name Hevea brasiliensis (rubber tree). Lineage: Eukaryota; Viridiplantae; Streptophyta; Magnoliopsida; Malpighiales; Euphorbiaceae. The record is from RNAcentral.